RNAcentral lists this long non-coding RNA (420 nucleotides) under Cricetulus griseus (Chinese hamster). RNAcentral describes it as "lncRNA (ENSCGRG00015033846.1)". Lineage: Eukaryota; Metazoa; Chordata; Mammalia; Rodentia; Cricetidae. The record is from RNAcentral.
GAGAGAUGGCUCAAAGGUUAAGAGCACUGACUGCUCUUCCAGAGGUCCUGAGUUCAAUUCCCAGCAACCACAUGGUGGCUCACAACCAUCUGUAAUGAGAUCUGGUGCCCUCUUGUGGUGUGCAGAUAUACAUGGAAGCAGAAUGUUGUAUACAUAAUAAAUAAAUAAAAUCUCUAAAAAAAAAAAAAAAGAAUUGUAAAGUGGGACUGGAUUGAUGGCUCAGUGGUUAAGAGCACUGGCUGCUUUUCCAGAGAUCCUGAGUUCAAUUCCCAGCACCCACAUGGUGGCUCACAACCAUCUGUAAUGAGAUCUAGUGCCCUCCUCUGGCCUGCAGGUGUACAUGCAGAGCAUUGUAUACAUAAUAAAUAAAUCUUUAAAAAAAAAGAAUUGUAAAGUAAGAAUUACAUUUACAAUAUCCAG